CCUACGGGAGGCAGCAGUGAGGAAUAUUGGUCAAUGGCCGGAAGGCUGAACCAGCCACGUCGCGUGAGGGAAUAAGGCCCUAUGGGUCGUAAACCUCUUUUGUCAGGGAGCAAAGGCGUCCACGAGUGGACGAAAGGAGAGUACCUGAAGAAAAAGCAUCGGCUAACUCCGUGCCAGCAGCCGCGGUAAUACUGAGGUGGCGAGCGUUAUCCGGAUUUAUUGGGGUAAAGGGGUGCGUAGGCGGAUUGUCAAGUCAGCGGUAAAAUUUCGGGGCUCAACCCCGUCGUGCAGUUGAAACUGACACUCUUGAGUGAGUGAGAAGUAAGCGGAAUGCGUGGUGUAGCGGUGAAAUGCAUAGAUAUCACGCAGAACGCCGAUUGCGAAGGCAGCUUACCGGCGAUCAACUGACGCUGAGGCACGAAAGUGCGGGUAUCGAACAGGAUUAGAUACCCGUGUAGUC
RNAcentral lists this ribosomal RNA (460 nucleotides) under uncultured bacterium. RNAcentral's name for it is "partial 16S ribosomal RNA". It matches the Rfam family "Bacterial small subunit ribosomal RNA", at positions 338 to 795 of the family's 1533-position model. The record is from RNAcentral.